Molecule: long non-coding RNA, 1068 nt
Organism: Etheostoma spectabile (orangethroat darter)
Lineage: Eukaryota; Metazoa; Chordata; Actinopteri; Perciformes; Percidae
Exons: 2
Source: RefSeq, a predicted model, not a curated record
GAGAUUUUAUUGUAAUGCACAGAACGACCUGCCCUCUUUUGAAAAAAGCGAGAAAGCGCAGCCAUGCUUUGCAGAGGCUCCAGCAUCGCUCUCAUUGGCAGUCUCUGCUUCUCGCCAGACGGACUCUUUGCUUGUCCGCCGCUACACCGAAAGGAACCGGGAAUACAAGCGACUGCCUCCGUGAUGUUAAGACCUGCAAUAAAGAAUUAAUGCUAGAAUGAUUUAUAAAAAAACAAAAACAAAAAAAAACAGCAGAGCACGGAUACAUAUAAGCAGAGCACAGUGUUCUGGGAUCCACCAUAUGGCGUGGACCAUAUCAUGGUGCAUUAUGGGAUAAUGGAGGACUUUUACGCUUUCUGCGAUUUUGGACAAAGCAGCCGAUCAAACGGAGUCCUUUUUCGCCUGCAAAAGCGGCCUAGGACGUAUCAUCACUUUGCCCGCAAAACUACCUACUGGCUGUUUUGCGUUUAAGUCAUUCCUGUAACCGUAACUUCUUGUUCCUCCAAUUGAAUGUUGUUAUUUUUUUACAUAAUAAGGUAGGCCUGCACAACAACCGGGUGAGGAUUUGAUCUCUUUGGACCCGUGCUUGGGAUUUUUAUUUUGUUUCAACUUUUGGCCAAACUUGACAUCCCAAAAUAGCUUUUAGUCAUACAACAAAGUCGUUAAAGGCUGCAAAAGUAUUUGAUUAUAUUUGUAACAGAUUUUAGGGAAAGGAUCGAGGUGUGUGGCCGUUUCCCCGCAGCAGCGUGAAUGAGGCUGGACACACGUUCAUACACACAUGCAUGAAAACACACACACGUACGAGCGGGUUAUGUCUCUCCGUGUUCACAGCGGACCUUGAUUUAAUGUCUUACAAUUAAGGCACGCGGUGAAUGCCAAGGGAUGAUCCUUCUUUCUUCGGAUGACUACAGAGCCAAGAAAUACAUCACAUCUUUUAACUAAAUUACAUUUUUUUUAAACAGAAGCCUAUUUGGUGUCGCUUUUACUGUAAAUUUGCUUCUGUCGUUAACUCAUGUACUGUCUCUUCCCCCCUUUCGUCCAUCAAUAAAGUAAAUCCACGCAACCAUU